This 504-nucleotide ribosomal RNA is filed under the name uncultured bacterium. RNAcentral's name for it is "partial 16S ribosomal RNA". It matches the Rfam family "Bacterial small subunit ribosomal RNA", at positions 30 to 523 of the family's 1533-position model. The record is from RNAcentral.
AUUGAACGCUGGCGGCAUGCCUUACACAUGCAAGUCGAACGGCAGCGGGGGUAGCUUGCUACCUGCCGGCGAGUGGCGAACGGGCGAGUAAUACAUCAGAACGUGCCCUGUAGUGGGGGAUAACUAGUCGAAAGACUAGCUAAUACCGCAUACGACCUGAGGGUGAAAGUGGGGGACCGCAAGGCCUCAUGCUAUAGGAGCGGCCGAUGUCUGAUUAGCUAGUUGGUGGGGUAAAGGCCCACCAAGGCGACGAUCAGUAGCUGGUCUGAGAGGACGAUCAGCCACACUGGGACUGAGACACGGCCCAGACUCCUACGGGAGGAAGCAGUGGGGAAUUUUGGACAAUGGGGGCAACCCUGAUCCAGCAAUGCCGCGUGUGUGAAGAAGGCCUUCGGGUUGUAAAGCACUUUUGUCCGGAAAGAAAUCGCACUGGUUAAUACCUGGUGUGGAUGACGGUACCGGAAGAAUAAGGACCGGCUAACUACGUGCCAGCAGCCGCCGUAA